This is a non-coding RNA of Cinara cedri, 586 nucleotides long. Lineage: Eukaryota; Metazoa; Arthropoda; Insecta; Hemiptera; Aphididae. The record is from the annotation of a GenBank genome assembly.
AAGUAUUAGUAAAAACAUUUUUUGCUAAGCUGGGUACACUGUUUUUUUCUUUUUUGGAAUUUUCAGAUUCUUAUCUUGCGAGGAAGAACUUUGCCCCAUUUAUAAUACUCCUCCAAAAUAGUAUCUUAUCACGUAACAUAACAGUUUAAUUUGUAAAUAGUCACUUCUUAGAUUAUGAUUGGGGCCAUUAUUUAUUUUAUACGUAUAGAAUUUUACUAUAAACUAUCUAACCGGGUGAUUUAUUUAAGUGGGUCACUCAGUACCUCGGAAAAUUACAAUUUUUUAUUUAUGCUUUUUUUGGGGGUAAAAUCACUAUCUAUUUUUAAUUUUCAAAUGACAACCUACAUUAAAAAUUCCAUAAAUAGAUGAAGUAUUAGUUAAAAUUUUUGAUUUAUGUCAAGCCACUGACGAGGUAUUUAACUUUUAAAUUAGGUUUGAGAUAAUAAUGGUGUAUUAUUAAAACACUGUAUGCCGAACCGUUACACAAAUGACCACUACUCUCUUCCAACCCAAACUUAAAAUUGGAAUAUCUCGUCAACGGAUUAAUGGAAAUCAAAAAAUUCAACACUAAAAUUUAUUUUAACUG